RNAcentral lists this ribosomal RNA (254 nucleotides) under uncultured bacterium. Its description in RNAcentral is "partial 16S ribosomal RNA". It matches the Rfam family "Bacterial small subunit ribosomal RNA", at positions 524 to 776 of the family's 1533-position model. The record is from RNAcentral.
CACGUAGGGUGCGAGCGUUGUCCGGAAUUAUUGGGCGUAAAGAGCUCGUAGGCGGUGUGUCGCGUCGGCCGUGAAAACCUGCAGCUUAACUGUGGGCUUGCGGUCGAUACGGGCAUCACUGGAGUUCGGCAGGGGAGACUGGAAUUCCUGGUGUAGCGGUGAAAUGCGCAGAUAUCAGGAGGAACACCGGUGGCGAAGGCGGGUCUCUGGGCCGAUACUGACGCUGAGGAGCGAAAGCCAGGGGAGCGAACGGG